Molecule: ribosomal RNA, 3156 nt
Filed under: beta proteobacterium JGI 0001003-N18
Lineage: Bacteria; Pseudomonadati; Pseudomonadota; Betaproteobacteria
Description: bacterial LSU rRNA
Rfam family: Bacterial large subunit ribosomal RNA
Source: RNAcentral
UCAAGCGACUAAGUGCAUGUGGUGGAUGCCUUGGCGAUUACAGGCGAUGAAGGACGUGGCAGCCUGCGAAAAGCUGCGGGGAGCUGGCAAACGAGCAUUGAUCCGCAGAUGUCCGAAUGGGGAAACCCGGCCCGCAAGGGUCACUCCCUGCUGAAUACAUAGGCAGGGUAGAGCGAACCCGGUGAACUGAAACAUCUCAGUAGCCGGAGGAACAGAAAUCAACCGAGAUUCCCAGAGUAGUGGCGAGCGAAAUGGGAUCAGCCGUCGCGAUUUAGCACAUACCUCAGGAGAACGGUCUGGAAAGGCCGGCCGCAGUGGGUGAGAGCCCCGUAACCGAAGAGGUGAGUGUGGAACUAGGCGCGAGAGAAGUAGGGCGGGACACGUGAAAUCCUGUCUGAAGAUGGGGGGACCAUCCUCCAAGGCUAAAUACUCGUAAUCGACCGAUAGUGAACCAGUACCGUGAGGGAAAGGCGAAAAGAACCCCGGGAGGGGAGUGAAAUAGAUCCUGAAACCGCAUGCAUACAAACAGUCGGAGCCCCUGCUUAAUUGGUCUUCGGUUCUUCCGGCGAGCGCGCGAAGCGCGAGUCAAAAGGACUCAAAGAUGAAUGGACCCUGUUGGUCAAUCGAAUGGAGCGAAGGCGUACGCGAACGCGAGUGAGCGUAGCCGUCGCCCUGCUUGAUUGGCUCGGUCAUCGAGCGACGUAUUGAACGUCGAGCCGAUGCGGGAACGGAGGGCCAAUCAAGCAGGGGUGACGGCGUACCUUUUGUAUAAUGGGUCAGCGACUUACGUUCACCAGCGAGCUUAACCGAAUAGGGGAGGCGCAGCGAAAGCGAGUCCGAACAGGGCGACUUAGUUGGUGGGCGUAGACCCGAAACCGGAUGAUCUACCCAUGGCCAGGAUGAAGGUGGGGUAACACUCACUGGAGGUCCGAACCCACUACCGUUGAAAAGGUAGGGGAUGAGCUGUGGGUAGGGGUGAAAGGCUAAUCAAAUCCGGAAAUAGCUGGUUCUCUCCGAAAACUAUUUAGGUAGUGCGUUGUGCAUCACCUGCGGGGGUAGAGCACUGUUAUGGUUGCGGGGGUCAUUGUGACUUGCCGCGCCAUUGCAAACUCCGAAUACCGCAGAGUGCGAGCACGGCAGACAGACUCCGGGUGCUAACGUCCGGGGUCGAGAGGGAAACAACCCAGACCACCAGCUAAGGUCCCCAAGACGCAGUUAAGUGGGAAACGAGGUGGGAAGGCUCAGACAGCCAGGAUGUUGGCUUAGAAGCAGCCAUCAUUUAAAGAAAGCGUAAUAGCUCACUGNUCGAGUCGUCCUGCGCGGAAGAUGUAACGGGGCUCAAACUGCGCACCGAAGCUGUGGAUGAAAGUAGGGUCAGAGACGAUUUUCGUGUCUGGCCCGCAAGGGAUCGGACGACGGUGAAAGUCGUGUCUGACCCUACUUUCAUGGUAGGAGAGCGUUCCGUAGGCCGGUGAAGGUGGCUCGAGAGGGCUGCUGGAGGUAUCGGAAGUGCGAAUGCUGACAUGAGUAGCGAUAAAGCGGGUGAAAGGCCCGCUCGCCGAAAGCCCAAGGUUUCCUGCGCCACGUUCAUCGGCGCAGGGUGAGUCGGCCCCUAAGGUGAGGACGAGAGUCGUAGCCGAUGGGAAACGGGUCAAUAUUCCCGUACCGGCUUGGAAUGCGAUGGGGGGACGGAGAAGGUUAGCUCGGCCGGGUGUUGGAUGUCCCGGUUUAAGCGUGUAGGCGUGCCCGGUAGGCAAAUCCGCUGGGCUUAGCUGAGGCGUGACGACGAUGGCCGGCUUGCCGGCCUGAAGCGAGCGAUACCCUGCUUCCAGGAAAAGCCUCUAAGCUUCAGUUCCAAGUUGACCGUACCGCAAACCGACACAGGUGGGCAGGAUGAAUAUUCUAAGGCGCUUGAGAGAACUCAGGAGAAGGAACUCGGCAAAUUAGCACCGUAACUUCGGGAUAAGGUGCGCCCCAGGUAGGUGAAGCCGUACAGGCGGAGCCGAGUGGGGCCGCAGAGAAAUGGUGGCUGCGACUGUUUAACAAAAACACAGCACUCUGCUAACACGAAAGUGGACGUAUAGGGUGUGACGCCUGCCCGGUGCCGGAAGGUUAAGUGAUGGGGUGCAAGCUCUUGAUCGAAGCCCCGGUAAACGGCGGCCGUAACUAUAACGGUCCUAAGGUAGCGAAAUUCCUUGUCGGGUAAGUUCCGACCUGCACGAAUGGCGUAACGAUGGCCACGCUGUCUCCUCCUGAGACUCAGCGAAGUUGAAGUGUUUGUGAAGAUGCAAUCUCCCCGCGGCAAGACGGAAAGACCCCGUGCACCUUUACUGUAGCUUUGCAUUGGACUGUGAUGAGACUUGUGUAGGAUAGCUGGGAGGCUUUGAAGCGGCGGCGCUAGCUGCCGUGGAGCCAACGUUGAAAUACCAGCCUGGUGUCAUUGCGGUUCUAACCUGGGUCCAUUAUCUGGAUCGGGGACCGUGCAUGGUAGGCAGUUUGACUGGGGCGGUCUCCUCCCAAAGAGUAACGGAGGAGCUCGAAGGUACGCUUAGCGCGGUCGGCUAUCGCGCUGAAUGUGCAAUGGCACAAGCGUGCUUGACUGCGAGCCUGACAAGGCGAGCAGGUGCGAAAGCAGGACAUAGUGAUCCGGUGGUUCUGUAUGGAAGGGCCAUCGCUCAACGGAUAAAAGGUACGCCGGGGAUAACAGGCUGAUACCGCCCAAGAGUUCAUAUCGACGGCGGUGUUUGGCACCUCGAUGUCGGCUCAUCACAUCCUGGGGCUGAAGCCGGUCCCAAGGGUAUGGCUGUUCGCCAUUUAAAGUGGUACGUGAGCUGGGUUCAAAACGUCGUGAGACAGUUUGGUCCCUAUCUGCCGUGGGCGCUGGAGAUUUGACGGGAGCUGCUCCUAGUACGAGAGGACCGGAGUGGACGCACCGCUGGUGUACCGGUUGUGACGCCAGUCGCAUUGCCGGGUAGCUAAGUGCGGAAGUGAUAACCGCUGAAAGCAUCUAAGCGGGAAACACGCCUGAAGAUGAGAUCUCCCGGGGACUUGAUCCCCCUGAAGGGUCGUGGCAGACCACCACGUUGAUAGGCCGGGUGUGGAAGGGCAGUAAUGCCUUGAGCUAACCGGUACUAAUUGCCCGUGCGGCUUGACCCC